AGCGAACGUUUGCGGCGGGCCUAACACAUGCAAGUCGAACGCACUAGCAAUAGUGAGUGGCGCACGGGUGCGUAACACGUGGGUAAUCAACCCUUCAGCCUUGGGAUAACGGACUCGAAAGGGUCGCUAAUACCGGAUACGGCGCGAGAGGGCUUUCGGCUUCUCACGAGAAAGCCACGCAAGGGGCACUGAAGGACGAGCCUGCGGCCCAUCAGCUAGUUGGUGAGGGUAAGAGCUCACCAAGGCUAAGACGGGUAGCUGGUCUGAGAGGAUGAUCAGCCACACUGGAACUGAGACACGGUCCAGACUCCUACGGGAGGCAGCAGU
RNAcentral lists this ribosomal RNA (327 nucleotides) under uncultured bacterium. RNAcentral describes it as "bacterial SSU rRNA". It matches the Rfam family "Bacterial small subunit ribosomal RNA", at positions 29 to 355 of the family's 1533-position model. The record is from RNAcentral.